AAAAAAAAAAACUAAGAAGAAGCAUUCGUAACGCUGACAAAUAGAAAGUUGUCAUUGAUAGUAGCUAUAUAUCUAUUAAUGAUAACUUUUAAUUUGAGAAAUAGUGGAAAAGUAAACAUAAAUUGCGUUUACACUCAUUUUAAUUAUAAUUAAAAUCAAUUAUUUUUCUUAAAAAUAUAUGCUCCUCCUUAAGAGUAAGAAGCAAUUUGAUUGAUAACUAUUUAUAAUCAGCAUACCCAAAUGUUUAUUAGAAGAAAGGAUGUAAUGUAACAACUACCUCAUUCACUCCACUAAUAUAUCCAAAAUCAAAAGAAAUGGAGUACACGUACCACAUCCUAAUUUAAGAUAUAAAUUAAAGUACACUAUAAGCUUAUGGACAUAUUCUUUCUAUUUGAAAUAAAUAAAAAGGUCAAUUGGAUAUAUAUAUGUGUGUGUAUGUAUUAUGAGUGUGAGGAAAUCAUAUUAUAUGUAUUAAAAACGUGUGGGGGCACAUGCCUUUUCUUCCCCUUAAAAUAAAAGGAUAAACUUAUAUGUUUUUGUACUUUGAGAUCUCAUAUCUCCCAUUUCUAUGAUUUACAUUCAAAUAAUUCUUUUUCCAAUUUUAAAAUUAAACAAAAUUAUUUCAUUUCCUAUCCAUUUUAUCAAUAUUGAAUAAUAAUUUUAGAAAUAAUAAUUAAGUAUAUAGCAAUAUUUUUUUAAAAAAAUACAAAUAUAAUAAAGUUCAUCAAUGAUAAACUAGACUAUUGUGAUUUAUCAAUAUAAACUUCUAUCAUAGACAGAUCUUGAAAGUUUUGCUAAAAUUUAAUUACUAUAAUUACAACUAUUCUUAAAAAUAUUGGUAAUCAUGAACUUUAAUUUUUAAAGUUGAAUACCAUGCUCGUAUAAAUAGAAAAGAAGAUGAAAAACUAAAUUAAUAUCAUACAAUACAUACACACUAAAUUAAUAUCAAAAGAACAGUAUUCUAUAGUAUGGACCUAGAUAUACAACGGGCCAAAAAAUUAAGAAAAUGAAUGUAUCUUAACAUUUUUUAAACACGUAUGUUGUUGUGUUUAAAAAUAAAUAAUAACUCUUGGUUUUUGAAUGAAUGUUUUUGAGAGUCUAAAUUUAAAUUAGGUAAAGUUCCACAUUAGUCUUUAUCCAGAUAUAUAAUUAUAAUUUCUUCAUUAAAUGGUUGAUCCCACGACGAAGGGACAAACAACCUUACACACACAUAUAUAAUUUUAUUAUGAUUAUUAUUAUUAUAAAGAAAGACAAGUUCUAUUCCACUUAGAUUUAAUUAAUGAAUGAUUAAAAUGCAUAAAACUAAGAUUAGAGACAUGUAAAGUAUCAUUUGUUUGAGUAAUCCCCCAUAAAGUUAACCAAAUAAUUAGAUUAAUUAAAAUAAACCAAUACUCUCCACCUUACCUUACCGGUUGGCGGAAUCUUCCUCAAUCCUCACAUUGAAAACAUGACAUAUUUUUAAAUAAAGAGAAGAUUUUUUUUUUCUUUUUAGUUUCAAGAACUUUAUAAAUUUAAUUUUAUUAAAAUUAUGUAAAAUAUUUUUCAGAAAUGUCAUUUAUAUUUGAAUUAUUUUGAUAAAAGAAUGGAUUAGAAUAAAAUUUGAAAAUAUUACAAAAACUUAUUUGGAGCGAGUUUAAGUUAUAUUAUUUUUAAUAAAAAUAGUUAUAUAUAAGUUUAAUUAUUUUUUGUAAGGGGGAAAAUAUAAAAAAUAAUUAGUUGACAAAUGAAUAUAAGUUAUGGUGUUAAUAAAGUAGAUAUUCUUUUAAAUGAAAAUUAUUUACUUUUUCUAACCGACCAAUAGAAAGCAAUUGAUUGAGUGGUUGGAUAAAGCUUAUUCGUAAUAAGAAACAUUUUCCUUUUAUAUCAAAAUUACAUAUGUGUUCCAAUUGAUUCCUCAAGAACCCUUAUUCUCUUUUUUUUUUUAUAUACAUUUUUCAUAUUUACGUAACAAUUUUUAUUUUUUCUGAGUAAUUUUGUUGUAUGGAGAGUGUGAAUAGUCUUGUUAAAAUUUUAUAUUUUUGAUAAAUAUAUUUAUUAAUUUUCCAACCAACGACCAACAAUAAAAUUAUCACUAGUACCAAAACAUAUAUAUAUAGCUACUUCCUAAAAUAUAUAAUUGCAAUAUGUAGAGCUUUUUUACUAUUAAUAAUUAAUUGUAUAUAAAAAAAUGAAAAUAUACCAAAAUUUAUCAAUGAGAUGAGAAAUUCUAUUGUUGACCUAUCGUAUAUACAAUCUUCGAUGUUAAUAAAAUGUAUAUUCUUUUAUACGAAGAUUAUUUACUUUUUCUAACGGACCAACAAGUAGUUGACUCGUGGGUAAUGCUUAAUUGUAAUAUGAUAUAUUUUCUUUUAUAUCAAAAUUACUUACUUUCUAAUUGACUAUAAAAAAAAAUGUAACAAGUUGACCGGUGAGUAAGGCUUAUUUUACCUAUUGACUACUAAACAAACCUUUAUUCUUCAUAAACGGUUCCUUUUUGACAAUGAAUAUUAUUUAACUUUCUGACCGACCACAAAGAAUAAGAUUCUUACUCGUGAUCAUAAAAACAAUCCAAUCUAAUUAGCUAAAUAGAUGUCUUUUAUUAUUUGUUAUGCUUAAUCCUUAUAUAGCUGUGUAUCAUUCUACCUCUCAUUUAACUUCCAUGUAUGUGUCUUGAAUAUGUGAACUUUUUCGUAUAGAAGGGAGUGAGAUUCGAAGAGAAUUUUCUAAUUUCUAACUUUAUCAAUAAGAAAUUAUAUUGUUGAUAGGCUUCCUAUGUUCUCCAAUAAAUAUAAUGAUUAAAUUUUGUUAUAUUUAUAAAUUAUUUUUUAGAUCGGGUGUAAAUUGAGGUAUAGUUUGUCACGUGAUAAUGAUAUAAUAUUCUUGCCAUUGUUGUUAAAAAAAGAGAACAAAAUAAUAAUUAAAUUUUUUUUGAUAAAGAUGUAGGGAUCAAAAUGAAACAUAUAUAAAUAUAACAAAAUCCUCAGCCCUCAUUCAGUCAACUCUGGCGUCUGCUUCUUCUCCCAUAGAGACAGAGCAAAGAAACCCCAUAGAACUUUCCUCUUUCUUCUUCACUAAAAACCCUUCUUCUCUACUAACAAUUCCCCCAACAAUUCUUCUCUAUCUCCAAACAAUGGAAGCUGCCAUGGAAGAUCCCAGUACCCCUUCUCCUUCGGGAAUCAAAGAUUUCGCCCUUAGCGGCAAGAUUAUGCUCAGUGCCAUCAUCAUCCUCCUCUUCGUCGUCCUUCUCAUCAUUUGCCUUCACCUUUACGCCCGCUGGUACGUUCUCCGUGCUCGCCGCCGUGGAAAUCUCCGCCGUCGCAACCGUCUCGUCUUUUAUUUCGAACCCGAAAACUCCUCUGCCCCACAUGGCGCCGCUCUCUCCCAACAUCGAGGCCUCGAUUCCUCUGUUCUCAACUCUCUCCCUGUUUUCACUUUCUCUUCUAAAUCCCAUUCCGAUCCCAUCGAUUGCGCUGUCUGCCUGUCUGAGUUUGAGGAGAAUGAAAAGGGUCGUACACUUCCCAAAUGUUCUCAUAGUUUUCAUAUUGACUGCAUCGAUAUGUGGUUUCACUCACACGCUACUUGCCCACUCUGUCGUUCACCGGUCGAGAUGCCUACGGAGGCACCGGUGGAGGUUGAGAUUUCCAUGGAGGAACCAGUGAUAGCUGAAUCCGGUUCGAGUUCUUCUGGUUUUUGCGCUGAGUGCGAUCGAUCAGACAGGAUGGCUCCUUCUUCCACCGGUUCUCGGUCGUUUAGGGCGCGACGAAAGCCGUCGGAAACGGGUGGAGUUUCGAUUGAGAUUCCGACGAGAAGGGAGGGGGAGUUUGCGUCUUCAUUGUCGCCGACAACUCCGUCGUUUAAGUCGCCGAUAAGUCGGGUGAUGUCGUUGUCGUUCAAGAUGAUCAUAGGUCUGGAGAGAAGAGGGGGGGCGUCACCGACGGGAAAUGGAGUGGGAUGCAGCUCCGGCAGCGGCGUGGAAGUGGAUAUUGAAAAGGGAAAGGAGAGCGUUCAAUGAAGAGGAAGUUGGAACUCGGAAAUUGACUCAGCUGCUUGGAAGACAAGUCGGGUGAGUAGACUGAAGGGUCAAAAGUCCAACGUGGAAACUGUCAACUCCAAUGGUGGAAUGGUUAGUCAGAUUAAGCAGACGUGGCAGUCGUGGUUUUCCCUUUUUUUUUUUUUAGUUUGUAUUCUUUAUGGAACGGAGAUUGUGACAUGUAGAUAUUGAUGUCUUAAUUAUAUAUAUAUAUUUUUUCCCUUCAUAUGCUAAAAUAGGAUAUAAACUUCAGACCUCAAAAAACAAUUGUAACUGAGUGAAGAAGCCUCCUAUUCUAAAAAUGGAGCAUUCUUUUAAGUCACAAAUCUUGGUUUAUUUAAAUUUAUGGUAACUUGUUAGUCUAAAGCUCUAAAAUAACUUCCUCCCUUUCAUUAAUAUCUUUUUUUUGUUUGACUUUCUUUAAGAACAGUGUUAGAAGUAUAGAUAUAACUAAGUUUUCUUGCUUCUUAUACAAAUACAAAUAACAGUUUUGUUUGGCAACCUAACUAAGGAAACUGACCUAACUAUAAUUUAGAUUCCAACUAAAUCUUUUAUUCAAUUAAAAAACAAGUUCUCUACGUAAUACUAUAAUUUGAACUCUAUACUAUUUGAAUAAUUUUAAUCCACUUACAUCCCCAUCUAUUAUUAUUAUUAGCAAGAUAAGCACUUUUAGUGGCCGCCGCCCCCACAUUUCAGAAUUGCUAUUGCUUUCCUUUCUAAUUUAUAUUCAAAACUGCUUUUAUUUUGAUUAGGAAUUACAAAGGCCCCAGAAUCAAUAACCUUUUUUAUAUAUAUACUUUUGUUAUUUGUUUUCUUAUGCUUUCAAUUAUUUUUUUAAAAAAACAUUAUCUUCGGAAUUUCGGAUAAAAAUUGAAAUGUAUUUAUAUGAGAGUCAUAUAUAUGGAUCAUUGUCGGACAUAUCCAUGAUGAGAGAAGUAAUCAAAAGAACAAUCAGUCCAAGCAGGAAAAAGGCAUGGGGAAACUGUUCAGCUCUACCACAACCAAAGAGAGAAUGUUGAGGAAGUAGAUGCAUUAUGACUAGGACUACCACAACACGGACAACGAGAGGGCCUCAACACCUAAAGCCUGAAGGAAGCCAAAUAGAAACUCCACCCCUUUUAUAUGUUACCCAUUAAACUUCAAAUAGAACGCUCCUCUGUCAAUAUUUAUAGUCGGCCUACGUUUUGGGCUUUCCGACCUCGGGCAUUGGGCCGGAUCCUAUCAGCCCUUUUACAAUGUUUUGGGCUUCCAUUUUUAGCCAUUUUCCAAAGGGUAGUUUUGGGAAGUACUAUUUACACUUUACAUGUAUAAUCAUUUUAUUUUAACAAUCAGUAAACUAAAAUAAAAUAAUUCUAUAUUUCCAAAGAUCAGGUUUAACAUUUUUAUUUGACACACUUCAAAAAAUUUAAUAGAAAUUCUUAAACCACUUAUUCUAAGCUUAAACAAGAAAAAUAGUUGGAUGAUGUUUGAAUGAUAUAACAAUGGUUUUUUUUUAUGUGGAGAAGAGAGUAUGGUUUUUUGUUUAUUUUGGAUACAAGAGACUAGAGAGUAUGAAAUUAAUAACUUAGAAUGUAUACCCACUUGAAAAGGGGAAGGCAAUCAAGCUAAACAAUUAAAAUCAUAAAAAGGUGAAAAAAUUGAAGCACUAAAAUGAUAAGAUCUCAUAAAGGAGGGAAUAAAAAAGAAAUUAUUUAUUCAAAAUUUGGAAUGUUUGGAGACUCUACACCGUACUCUAAGAGUAGCUUUUUAUAUAGUUUCUUCCUCUGUUUUUUCUUAUAAAAAUUUUAUACUGCCAUCAUGCCCGAAGUGUACGGAACGCCGGUGGGCUUGAUCCAGGGAUCUCCACGAAUAAAUCUCGCAGCAGUGAAAUCUAAGGCGUGUUCCAUAGUGAUCUUCUUAAUUCCCUUCCACUUCACACGUUUAUCCGUAGCUGCUCCUGGUCCCCUGUUAUUGAUCUCUGCAUAAAACAGAGUAUUCAGAGCAAAAUUUCCCGUCCAUGGAAGCCACCCUUCAGGUUGAAUCAAGUCAUCAAUUUGGGAUUGCAUUAUGAUUGUUCUUGAAUAUUGCUUCCAUGGCCGGCCCAGGAAAGCCUUGUUGAUGUGGCGGAUCGGGAAGAAGUCAGGGGCUGAGGAAAUGGCACAAUUUUGCAAGAUUAUGGCGGUUGGCUCUUUCCGUUGAGUUCGGCCCUGCGCGGUGACGAUGCAUUGUUGAUUAUCCAUUGGCUUCCUCACUAGGAUCUUGCAGUUUUGGAAUACAACGGCGCCGUUUCCGAAGAUGAAAUCGAUGGUUCCGGUGAUGGUGCAGUCUCGGUAGAAUUGACGGUGAGCGUGUGUGUAGAGAGUGUCUUGGUAACCGUCCAUUUGACAAUUGUAGAAGACUGACAUGUCGGAUUGAACUCGAAGUGCCACCGCCUGAUGCUUUGCUGCUCCGGCAGAGUUCUCGAAGCCGAUGUCCUUCGCAAUGAAGUUGCUUCCAAUCACAGCUGUGAAUACAAAACAUUAAAAUCACGGCUGUAUCACAAAUUAACCUAAAAACUUAAUCUGUUUUCUUCUUCUUCUUAUUAUUAUGUUAAAUCAGGUAAUGACUAAUAAUUUUAAGCCGGGAGUGAAGUAAAUUUAAUAUAUUAUAGCGACUUAGAACUUACAAACGGUAGCGGUUUUGAAGGUGGGUGUUCCAUCGAUGUAGUUCUUCCCGGCUGUAAUCUUAGUUUUAGUCGGACCAUCUCCGAUCAUCAUCACCCAAGUCAUACUUUUCUCUACCAUUACUUGUUCUUGAUAAACCCCUGCCUUAACGUAAAUCACAAACGUUUUAUUGCUCUUCUUUGGGACAUCAUUUAAGGCUGCAGUCACAGUUUUGUACUUUCCACUUCCGUCUUUCGCCACCACGGCAUCCGCCUUGAUGUUGGCGCCGGUGGCUUGGAGAAGCCCCCGUCUGUCUCUGACCCACGACGGUUCUUCCCUUUGUUCAUUAGAUUCCUCCGUCAUUAACCGUCGUCCAAUUGCUGGGAGCCCAAAAGAGGUCAAUAUGGAAGUAACUUCACUCACCAUUCCAAGCCCAUUAAUUGUCAAUUCUUUCGACGUUUCCAACAAUUUCGUCAUCUUUUCCCCGGUAUCGCCGGUGACAUUUUCGAAGCCGUCUAUGCAAGUUUCUUGAUAAGUCAAUGCGCCACUCAACCAAACCUUAAGAUCUUCGAUGUAAUCAUCGAGUUUCUGCAUGUCGAAAUUGUCUGUGAUUCUUUGAAAGGAAAUUACGAGAUCGUCAAUUGCAUAAUCCAUAAGCUCACCACAGGCGUCAAGAGCUUGUUUAGCCAUUGGGUCAGAGGCGGCUUCUUUCAGAGUGGUGGAAUUUCCAAUGGCCCAUUUGAUUUCGUUGACGGCGACAUUGAAACCAGCUUUGAUUAGCUCACGUGGGUCGCUCGUGUUGGUUCCGGCCUCAGACAGAGCUUUCUCGCAGGUUUCUUGGUAGUCAGUGGGCUGACAGAGAGCCUUGACUGCUUUGGUGGAGGUCGAAAUCUCGGCUGUGGCGGCACUGUCGCCACCACCGCUGGCGUUGGGGCUAUUUCGAUUGACACCGACUGCGACUGCAACUACCAUGGCAACAAGAAACAAGGAAGAUACACCGAUGAGAGCAGCUUUCUUGUUCUUCCCUUGAUCAGACAUGUUUUUGUUUUACUUUUAGAUUAGCAAUUUGGGGGGUUUCUUUUUCAGUUUGUUUUUUUGUGUUUUUUGUUUUUGGUUUUUGGUUUAUGUUGGUUAAUGGAAAAAGGGAAGAUAGAGAACUGGCUUUGAAUUCUUUUGUUGGAGGAAAUGGAGUGUAUUUAUAUAUGUGAAAGAUUUGGGCAGAGAUCCGAAAUGACAGUUAAUACCGUUGAGUUUGAACAUUAAGAGCCAGUAAGCUUCUUUUUUUUUGACUUUUUCAUCUGAAUCAUUUCCUCACUUUUACCUCUCUAAAUUUAGCUUCCUCCUAAUGUUUACUAAUCUUGAGAUUUUAUUUUAUUUUAUUUUAUUCAUUUACAUAUUUUUUUUCAAUUUUGUGUAUAUAUAUAUAUAUAUAUGACUAAACUUUUAUAAUUUAAAUCUUAAUUUUUCUUAUUCUUAAUUUUUCUUAUUAUCAAUUUAUACUUUCAACUAUUUUGAAAAUCAAUGCACCCAUAAUUUCAACUAUUUGAAAAUCGAUCCAUAAUUUUAAAUGAUAAAACUAUUUUGAAAAUUAAUGUAUGAAUAAUUUUAAAAGAUAAUUGUAAUAAACGGUAUGGAUUGCCUUUUAAAAAUUUAGAAGUUUAAUUAAUUUAAAUUAUAAAUUUUACACAAUAAUUAUUUAAUGUAACCAAAUUUAAAUUUAUAAUUUAAAUUAAUACCAUACAGUUUUUAAAUAUAAUAAUUCUUUCAAAAUUUAAUAAAAAUUAGAAUUAAUUUUUUUUCUUCACUUUGAAAGAUCUAGACUUCUAACCGACCAAGAAUGUCCGAGUCAUUCAAGCUAAACUUAAAUCAACAAAAGUUGAUUGAAUUGAAAAUAUGGGAAUUUGUAUCCUUUUAACUUAUAUAAAAAAAACAACAUACAGGUACAUAUGUCCAAUAUUGUAUUGAUAAAAAUAGUUGAAUCUAAAUAAUUCUAUAGUUAAUCUUAGCACUAUUUUGAAUGUGCAACUAGUUGGAUGAUCAUUAUAACAUAUCAUUGAACUUGUAAAGAGUUUGAUAUUACUACUUGCAAGGUAAGUUGCGUUGGACAUUAAUGCUGUUUGUGUCAAAUACAUUCUGACAAUAAAGUCAAUUGAAUCAAAUCAAAUACAUAAAGAUGAAAAUAAUUCAAACUUCCGACGUCUUGGUUGUAAGUAUAUAUACUAACAAGUUGACGAAAACUAAAAAUAAAUAAUAAUAAAAAGAAAACGAUACUACUUUCUUCCAUUAUUUCAUGGCCAAUGGAUGUUCUGGCCUCUCUUCUUCCUUUUAUUUCUUUUCUUUUAUCUUAUUCUUAUUCCUCAUCCUCUCACAUGUUUUAUUAGAUUUCUAACAUCAUCUUCUGAUGAAUGGUACCUGAAAAGUUUUGCUUUCAAUUUUCAAAGCUUGGCUCUCCGAAGCUCCAACUUGGCUAUGGUUCCCAAAUGUACUUCAUCAGGGCCAUCUGCUAUUCUCAAGGUUCUUGCAGCAGCCCAAAGAUGAGCAAGAACAGUGUCGGAAGACAAGCCACCUGCACCAUGCACUUGCAUUGCCAUGUCCAGAAUCUGUAAAGCCAUAGCUGGAGCUGCAACCUGUACCGAGUUUUACCAACGUGUUAAGUGAAGCGUUUGUGACAAAAGAGGAGAAAGGGGUUGGGGAUAUGUUUUGAAGAUUUGGAACCAUGAAGAAUCUGAUUUAGGAAGUGUUAAAUUGCAGCAUACUGUUUAUAUCUUGAAGUUAUUUCUAAUAUAAUUCGCCUCUAUAAUUAGUCUAUAUAUAUAAUAUAUAUAUCAGGUGACGGUACCAUGGAAAAUUUGUUACUCUAAUUAACGAAACUUUAUCAUUUGAAGAUCAUGAGUAUUCAAACCUGUUAUAAAACGAUAGGCUACUAUUUAAAAUUCACAAACUGUGAAACUUUUAUUAAAUGUAAAAAAAAAAAUUACCUUGGCCAUUGCAAUUGUCCCACGUGCUUUCUUGUUUCCUAACCGAUCCAACUGAUCAGCUGCUUCUAAGACCAGCAGUCUUGUUUUCUCAAGUUCCACACGACACUGACACAAAUGUCGCCAUAUGAUCAUUAUUAUACAUUUAAAAGGGUAUCAUGUGGCAUAGAGGGAAAUGAGGAAUUCCAAUAAGGAUUUUCAAUUACUGAAUAUAUACUGCGUCCUUGGGACGUGAUAUGAAGCCCCUUGUUAAGUAUGGUUUAUGUAUCCGAAUACCUUGGCAAUGUCUGAAAGGAAGGAACCCUGCUCAGCAAUCAACUUCCCAAACACUCUUCUACUAAGAGCCCUCUGAACUGCCAUCUGCAUACCUCGCUCUGCAGCUCCUACCAACCUCAUGCAAUGGUGCAGCCUCCCCGGGCCGAGCCUACCCUGGAAGGACAUACCAAACCAAAUGAAAGUCAUCCACCAUUGCCAAGGGCAUCAGAAUGAAACUGUGGCAUUAGUCAAUUUUCUAGGGAAAUACUGAGAAACGGUAUUAUAGUUGUUAAAAAUAUUAUUAGGGUAUUAAUAAUAUAUUAGUAAUUAGCUAAGCGAUAUUUUUGUAGGGUCUUGUUAUAAAUAGUGAGUGGGAGGGGAAGAAGGUAGGCAUUUAAUUUAGUUGAUUAAGCCUUUGAGUGAUUUCAAGAAAGGGAGUGCCCAAGUACCUCGAAUGAUUUUUAGUUAUUGUAGACCUUCUACCUUAAACUAUUCAAUGCAUUUCAGCUAUUUGGUUUUGAUCAUAUAUACUCAAAGUCAAUCCCAUUUAAAUGCAAGCACGAACAUCCAUAGGAUACAUCAUAUAAGAUAGCAUAAAAGAUUUGAACAACAUUACCUGUGCAAUUUCAAAUCCACGACCCUCUCCAAGUAUAAUAUUCGUUUCAGGAACACGAACAUUGUCAAAUAUAAUCUCAGCAUGGCCAUGAGGUGCGUCAUCAAAGCCAAACACUGUGAGUGGUCUUUUGACAAUUACACCUGGAGUCUGGAUGUCAACUAAGAUCAUGGACUGUUGCUUAUGCAAAGGAGCGGUAACAUCUGUUUUUCCCUGCAAACAAUAGAGAACUUGUUGCAGCGAUAAUAAUAUAAAUCAAUUUGAGAAUAAUAGACUGGUCUUCUAAAUAGUAGGAAGUAGGAACUAACCAUAACUAUAAGGAUUUUGCACCUUGGAUCCAUCGCUCCACUUGUCCACCAUUUUCUUCCAUUGAUGACAAAGGUAUCUCCUUCCCUGCAUGUAAGUUGACAGUUUAAGUAUUAAAUAUACCUAUAACAAACAAAACACUUUAAGCACACUUGAAGAUAUAUGUUUCCCAAAAUUUCAACUGUCAAUUUGGAAAUGAUUAACGAACUAUGAAUGAAAAAUAGAGAUUGUUAAAAAAUUAGUCAAGAAAAGCCAUUCAACAUGCCUUUAGUUGAAUGUUCAAUAUAUAAAAUAUCCUCACAUUUUUUUAAGUCUGCCAACAGGAGGGAAAAAAAAUAGAGAAUGUAAUCCAAUAAGCAGCAAGGAAUUUUUUAUCUAGUAAACAGAUGAACUACAUAAUCAGAAUAGCACUUUUCUAUAGAUAAAUGUUUAACAUCGUUACCUUGUAAUUGAGCAUUCAAUAUUUGUUGCAUCGGAGGAUGCAACCUGUGGUUCAGUCAUUGCAAAUCCAGACCGUAUCUUCCCUUCAAGCAAAGGAAUAAGCCAUUCAUGUAGCUGUUGUUUGUUGCCAUACCGCAACAAUACCUAAUGAAAAAGAUAGAAUUAUCAAUAGCAGUUCCAAUCAUGUAUGCUUACAUCGUGUUUGUCAAACUUUAACUGAACCAUUGGUGGCAAAGAUACCAACAGAUUAGUGAUUAUAACAUACAAUACUCCACCUACGCAGAGGAUAUUCAACACCCAAAAUUCUAAACGUAAAAGAGUAUAAAUUCAAUGGAAAAUACAUAAAGGUUUAUUCAUUCAUUGGUCUAUUCAAUUUGUUAAAGUGUAUAUGCUUACAGCAGUGUCAAGAAUUCAGGGAAUCUAUAAAGCUAGCGACCUUCCAGGCAGAAUUCAGGCUAUAAAAUUGGAUCUUACCUCCAUAUUUCCAGUGUCAGGUGCGCCACAAUUAAACACCUGAGGUGCCCAAAUAGAUCGACCCAUUAUCUCACAGAGGUGCCCAUAUUCAAGAUUGGAGAGGCCAGCACCAAGAAGAAGAUUUUCCGCACCAGCUGAAACGAUGUGGCUAGUUCCAUUGAAAAGCAGUUUCCUUGCUCUAGCAGCACUAUCAAACUGCACAAGAAAUCUUAUUUCUUAAACUGAUAUUUAAAGGAAUAACAGUACAAGUAUAUAGAUUAAAUCAGAGAAGAGAUAAAAUACAAACAGGUAUCCACAAGUUCCAUAAGCCUUCUUUUUUAGCCAUCUCCUUUAGUUUCUCUUCCUCUGGGUGAAUGGUCCACCGUAAGGAAGACUGAGCAAGUUUGUAAAAUUCAUUUUCCAUAGGGUAUAUAUGAUCGUCCAUGAACUUAAUCAACUUGGUUCUCAACUCCAUGACCUUUUUACUGGGGACGAACUUUCCUUCAUCUUUGAGAAUCCCCCAAUCUUCACCCUCCUUCCUUGUAUAUUGUGAAUCAACUUGUACAAUUGAAUCUGAAGUUGUUGAAAUGGGAAAUAGCACCUUAUGAAAUAGCCUUAGUUAUGUUCUACUAGAAGUGAAAAGCUUUAUUAGACAAAAAAACUACCAGAUGGGGGAUUCUCAGGCAGCAAAGACUUUUGUUCAAUAAAUACCCAAGCAGCAUCAACUAAAGCAUUAGCCUUUUGUACAGCAAUCUGAGCACUCUCACCCCCUGAUGCAUUUCCCUGCAUUCUCAAAAGGAAACUGUGAUUAUUGCAAUUUAAAAAUUCAAAAUCCAUUCUUUCGUUUUUCCAUGCUGCCAAGUGUAUUCAAUUAACUGAUAAGAUACCAUAAUCCAUCGACUGUAAAUUCCAGCAAAGAUUGCAGCUCCUCGAAAAAUGGAGAAGGCAACAUAAAAUUUCCAUGCAGAAAACGGCCAUGGUUUUCCCUGCAACAAGGAAAUUCCAGAAAAAGUGAAUCUCAAGAACCAGUGGAAUAAAUUUGAAACAAUGAAUCUUCAUUUACGUCAGCUAGAUCAUGCACUGGCCCAUGAACAUUCAUUUUCCUUGGACCGAAUAAAUAUCAAACUAAAAAAUUACUUAAAUUGAAUCUAAGCUGAUUUUUAUCUGUAUCAUAGGAGCUCAAAGGAAACUUAGGGAUUUAUUACUUAGACCAUAUUUACAAUUUAUUUACAUAAACAAGAAGUCAGACACAUAUCAAUAAUUGAUAAACGCUCAAGGACUGCAAAGAUAACGGAACAACAAGAUACUGACAUUACUUCUAGAUAAGUUGCACCUUCAAUUCCUUAUCAUCAAGCCUUCAAUAUAUGGUUACAAGAUGCUUUCUUCAUGGCUAUUUGUUUCAAGGCUAACGUAGAAACGAAAAAUCUAGGACGGGAAAUGUGAAAACAUAGGUAUCUGUUAUUAUCAAAAGAACCUGAUUAAUAUUGCAAAAGUUUUUACUCGGGAAAUCUUCAAUAGCCAUAUACUAAUGAAUUAAUUGAAACUUUAAGUUAUUAUCCCUAAUCAAAAUCAAGUGAGUUCAAUUAAUUAAGUCUAGAAACAAUAACUAAUUAUUACAAUCUAAUUAAUUUACCACAUUAUAUUAAUAUAAAGUAAUUUGUGUCGAUUCUAAAAGAAACGAACAGAGAUGGGCAUAAAAUAAGAAAGUUCCAUUAAUAACAUAAUAAUAAUAAAAAAAACAAUUAAUGUAUAUAUAUAUUCAAGAUAAUGCAUGACCUUCGUAAUAAAAACCCAUUUAUUUAAAAUGUUAACAAAAGAACAAAAAUUGGUGGCGUCACCAACUAUCAUGCGGGUGAACCACAAAACUCAAAUACUUGACCGAAUAAUUCUGAUAAUAACUACUUACAGCGAUAGAACAGUAACGAGCCAAAUAUUCUGUUAAUGAAGGUAUCCCUUCCAAAGUUCCAAUAUUGUUAAAACCACUUGCUGUAUUUGGAAGGUCAGAGUGGAUGUCCAAGAUGUAAGGCUGGAAAGAAAUGGAAGUAGUACAGCUUCAAUAUGUGUGAGCACAUGAAUAGAAAUUAUCCAACAAUUAACAGCGUGCUGAUGUUACAAGUUAAAAUGCUGAAACAUUAUGGUGAUUCUUGAACAUUGUAGAACAGAAAUUCCCUACCAGGCAGAAAUAAGCAACAUCACACAUUUGAUUUCCAACCGUGGACAGCUCCCAAUCAAGAAUGCCUAUUACUCGGUCCUGCACUCUCAAAGGAUGAAACAACGUGCAAGUUUUAUUUAUCUAUAUACACCUCAACUUCAGCAAUAAACAUCCAAGAAAUAAUAAAUGUUAGCAGGGCGCCAGACUUUACAAAGAUUAAAACUCAUCCUCUUGGUUGAACAAGCAAAAAACAAAAUGGAGGACAUGGACAUUCAAAGGAUAUAUUUAUAUAGAAGAAAUAGCAGACCUCGGAGGGAUGAAAUAUAAGAUUAUCAAUUCGAAAAUCUCCAUGAACUAAGCCAGCUGUGACACCUGAAGAAUCUUCUGAAGGAAUAUGUGCACGUAGCCACUCAAUUAGUGCAAACAUUUUUGGAUUUCCAUCUACUUUACCCUCAUUGGUUGAUGAAAUAUACUGUUUUGCCCACCUUUCAAUCUAUGGGGAAAACAAAACAGAAGUUUAUAAGCAAUAUUACUUGGUUUGGCUAACAGCGUUGUUAUGACCAGUCCAUCCUCACAAAAUAGCACAGGGAAGAAAAUUUCAAGGACUCAUAAUCCAUAGGAACAGAAUAAAGAUUUAGGACACACCUGUCGCUUACAAUAGUUAUCUGGACGCCCAAAUUUUCCUAGACCAAUAGCAUUCACAUCAACAGAAUGUAGAGAAGCUAAACUUUUCGCAGCUUCUAAAUAUAUUGCUCUUCUAGUUUCAGGAGCAACUCCCUAAUGCAAUAACAGUCAAUCCAUCAGAAUCAAGUCAAUUGCAUAGCUAGUAAAACUUCAGAAUUUACUAAAGAUACCUCCAAUUUGGGGUCUAAAAAGAUUCGUCCGUUCAAGUACUCCAUAAUAUAAAAUGGAGUACCAAUUACACUUGAAUCAUUACACAGGCAGACAACUUUGGGAACUGGAACCUGUGUAUGAUUACCCAAUGCUUGAAGAACCUAUCACAUCAGAGAUUCAAAGUGGAGAUCAAAACCUUCAAGUCCCUACAGCUACAUCAAUUCGGAAAAUUAUAAGAAGUAUUACACUUCUCUCUUUUUAGCAUUAAAAAAUUAAGCUAGCUCACCGAUUAGUUGGACUGCCUACUGAUUCUUUGAUAUAAAAAAGUUGUAUUCACAAUUAUAGAGUUGUGAAGUUUUCUUUUAAUCAGUUAACACAAGUCAAAUGAAGUUGUGAUCGAUUCUCGUUCGAUUUCUAUCUGUUGUUAGGUAAUGGAAUCACCUGAAACUCCCUCUCAACGGCGUGAGCAGAGUGGAGCAGGACGCCGGGAGGUUUCUUCCUCAAAACAUACCGAUUCGUGGAAUCUCCGGAAGAAACUUCGAUAAGAUAAGUGGGAUUUGAUUGACCAUGUCCGAACUAAUCUCCAGAAAUGGGAAAGGAAAACACAAAAUCAACGAAGAGAAAUAAGAUUAAAGCGAUGAAAUUAGGAGUAAGAGAAAGCAUAGAAAGAAGAAGAACCUGAGAGACGAGGAAAUUAGAAGGGAAAGAAGGAAAAGCAGGAACGUUGGAGGAGCAGUAACGGAGCAAGGCAUUGAGAUCAAGGUGGUGAGCAGGAGAAAUAUGGCCAAGCAAAUCAAGCGUACGCUUCGCCAUAGCUGGAAACUCAAGAAUCAGUAGAGGAUUGGUUAAGAAGAGAAGAACAUACAGAAAAUUGAAAGGAAAAUUGGAUGAAGAAGGAGCAAGAAGGAGGACGCAAACCAAUGAAGGUGUUUUUAAAUGCUAUUUGUAUUUCAAUAAUAGUCGGACUAAACGAAAAAAUGAGUAUAUGCCCAUAACUACCCGCUUGAUUAUAUAUAUAUAUAUAUCACAGCCUUUCACUUACACACCCUUGGCCCCAUCAUUUUUAGAUUUUUAAAUUUAAUACAUUACCUUUGAUUUGCCCUUUAAAAAAUUUAGUUUUCUCUCUUCUUUAUUUAUUAAAUGGGUUUCACUUUUUUUUUUUUUUAUCUCCAUUUUCUACUAAAUAUACAUUGUUUCGUUUCUAUGCUUAUUACUUAAUUUAAAAGAAUAUGUUUCACUAUUUUUAUUCAUCACUAUUCAAAUUAAUUUGAGAUUUUAUCAUUCAAGUGAGUAUUUACUAACAAAAGUUUGAUAAAUUUGUAAUAUUUUUAUAUUUAUGAACCAAUGCCAAAUGAAAACUAAGGUCCAUAAAAAAUGUAUGUAUUUUUCUUUAUUUUAUUUUUUUUACAUACUAAUAUAAAAAGUAUGAAAAAGUCCAGACAUAAUUGGUGAUCUUCAACCCAUAUGGUUUUUAAUCAAUCCAGUCUUGCAAGCUUUGUGAAACAAAAGUUAAACUAAUUUUGAUUAGCGAGAAGAAAACAAUGGGUUAUGCGUAUGCCUCUUUGAUGAAUAUCACAAAUGGGGGCAAUAAAAAUACACUUUGAAUUUUGUUUGAUAGAGGACUUUGAAUUAGUUUUUGGAUCACACAAUGGCUGAAAUCUUGUUUCUCUUUCACUACGUGUGCAGAGAGAGCAAUGGGCUUAUUAGCAAGGUCAAAUUGAAAGCAUUAGAGAUCAAAUGCUCUCCAAAACCAUCAUCAAGUCACUCUUGGGGUCUCCAAAAAUAGCUUUAAAUGCCCACCUGAUCAUUAUGUAAGACAAGUACAUCAAAAUUCACCAUGAUGUAGAGAGAGUUGGGGAAGGAAGAUGAAGGUGACAAUGGGAUGAUAUCCAAAAACAUAGUCUGUAACACUUAAAAAAGGUGGGUGGUCUGUCCAAAGCUUCUAGGUAACAAGACAAACCCAUUGACUAAGUCUUAAGGAAUAAGGGUUCUCAUUCACAUUGAUAAGAACUAAACAGUUCAUACCUCUAACCUAUAGAAUAUACUUUGAGUUAUGUUUGAGUUGGUAGAAAUAAGUACUCUUAACUUCAUUAUAUCCAUUGAAAUGUUAAUUUUGGAUACAACUUAAUGGAUAAAAUACAUAUUGCCAACUUAAAUAAAAUAUCUAUUAUUAACUCAAAAAUAAACUGUAUGAUGUAAAUUUGAGCCUAACUCAAAUGAUUAAAACAUAUUAUAUUUUUAAUUAACUAAAAAGUUCAGUGUUUGUUCCGACGAAAGGAGAAAAUUUGUGGAGAUAUCUACUCGAAAGAAAUAAAUAUAGAAAUGAAGAAUGAAUACAUGGAAGAGAGGAAGAGGAGAAAGAAAAUAUUAAAAAAAUAUAUUAUUUUCAACCAGAUUUUAGAAAAUUAUUUUUAUAUUUAAACUCAAUAUACUUAUUAGUAGGAUGACCUUUUAAAUUUAUUUUAAAAAAUGACUAAUUUAAAAUAUUAGAAACUAAAUGUACUUAUUUGUCGAACAUGAUUAUAAUGAUAUAGUUAUAAAUUUCAAAUCUAAGAAUAAAAAAUAAUAUCAAAGGAGAACACAUAAUUUUGAUUACUUAAAUAAAACUUUUGUGUGUAACCUUUGGGUUGCACAAGUUGUUACCAUUAAACUCCAAUAAUUCUCCUGUCCAAAUUAUUGUUUCAAAUGCAAUUAUAUACUUUUCCUAUAUAAAAUAAUUACAGUUGAAUUAUAAAACUUAGGUUUAAUAAAAAGAAUUUUAUAAUUAGAAUGACUAAGUAUAGAAUAAUGGUAAUUGGUAGCUAUUUUAGGAAUAAUAAUUAAGGAUAUAGUAACAUUUAAAAAAGUUGUAAAUAUAGCAAAAUCAUCACUGAUAGACUUGUAUCGCUGAUAGAUUCGUAUGGUCUAUUAAUGAUAGACCAAUAUUUACAACAUGGUCUAUGAGUGAUAAACUUAUAUCAUUAUAGCAUAUCAAUGACUAUCAGUGAUAAAAUUUGUUAUAAGUUAUAAAUAUUUUGUAAAAUCUACUAUUUUUUAAAAAAAAUUCAAAGUAAAAAUAUGAAAAUAAGAAUUCAAGCUAAAAAUCUAAAAAAAAAAUCCUACCAACUUUGUUCUAUGUUCUUUGUGAGAAGACAAGUCAAUGCAAAGAUAAGGUUAGAAUAUAUCCCUUUUUAGGGUUUCUAAACUUUGGGUAUGCUCAAGUUGGCAAGUAAUCAAUUACCAAAGUGGUUGGUUUGUUUUAGUUUUGUUUUUCAAUUUACUUCCUAUUUUUUAAAAAAAUUUCAUUAGUAAUUAUUAAUUUGGUAUGAUAAAUAUCUAAGAAGUGUUUGACAAUCGAUAUGUAAUUGAGUUGCGUGGAUAAAAAAAUUCAUCCACCAUUUAAAUACAUCAAUAAUUCAAGAGAUUUAAUUAACUUGUUAUUUGUGUUAGCUUAUAUUUUCCAUUUGAGUGUUUAUUUCAACUUUCUUAAAUACUCUCACAUAUAAUAAUUAUCAACUCAACCUCAUAAUUAAAAAUCAACUCUAGUCCAAUAUUUUUUCUUUUGUAAAUAUGAAAUUUAAAGGAAGAAAAUUAAAAUGUUAUUUAAAAUAUUUUCAAUUUCUAAUAAAAGAAUAUUAAUCUCAAAUUAUUACUCAUAGACAUAGUCAAUAGGUGAAGAAAAUUCGUUCACUAUCCCUAUAUAGAAGAACAUCUCUACCUACUUUAUUCUUAAUUCAAAUGGACUACUUAUCCAAACUAAAUACCAUAUUAAGAUAUUUUUUAAUUAUUGGUAACACAAACAUAUUAUAAAUAAACUAACUCAAUAAAAGGACCUUGAACAUCUAUAAUAAUUAGAAUUUCCUUUUUAAUGUAUAUAUAUAGAUCCAGAUCAACCCAACAAAUAUACUCCCACUUACAAAAUUUUAAAAAAUAAAUUAUUUUUUUUUACUAAUUUAACCCUUUUAUUUAAUGUAUAGGAAUUUCUAAUGGGAGCUAGAUUCCCCCAAAUAAUUUGAAAAAAUAAUAAUAUUUCAAAACAAUUAUUUUUGGUGGAACAAAUUCCAAUUUUCUUAGCUUAUUGAGAGAUAAAGUAAUUUCCAACAAAUUAGUAAGCCUAAUCAUUUCCAACGUUUUCUAUAUAAAUGGUGUUUCACCUUCUUCAAUAUAAAUUAAUUUCUAUCCCCAAACCAAAAAAAAAAGGAAAACUAACCAUAAAAACACACAAGGUGUGUUAUGGCAGCUCACAGAGAUCUAUCUCGUAAUGAUCUCCCUAAAAUUGGAUUGGAAGGCUUUGCCCUUAUAGAAGAAAUCUACUGCAAACGACUACCAAAGAGGAGACCAAGGCAAGUUGCUCUAGCUCCACCACAAUCAAUCAUAGCAAUUCAUCCUCCACAAAGGAUGGCCGAGUCAUCACCGCCUAUUCGUUGUAAUCAAUUGGCUAAAACUCACGAAGGUGAAAGCAAGUCAUAGAGGAAUCUAUUAAACCAUGAAAAUUUAGAGUCAUAUGGUAACUCUUUAUUUAAUCAAAAGUGUGUGUAUAUAUAUAUAUAUUUAUAUAUUUUCAUUUGGCAUGAUCUGGUUUCUACGUUUGUGUGGAAGCAAGCUUGUAAAGAGUCUAGUAAAACUUAUAAUGGCUCUGCUUGUAAUAAAUAAAGUUUAUUAUCAACUAAGAAGCUUACUUUGCUAUCCUCUAUUUGCAACUUUUCAUCGUAUGUUUCUCUUCUUGACUCACCUUUAACUUCUUGUUGAUCAAGCAGUUGGGUUGACAGUUUUCUUUUAAGCAUUUCAUUACACAUAUAUAUGGUUAUUAAUUUUGCUACAAAACAUUUGAUUCAUAUGGAGAAUUCUUAUUUAUUAUAUUGGUUAUAGAAAUUUCUACAUUCUUUUGUUUCUUCCUAUUAUAUCGG
RNAcentral lists this long non-coding RNA (19545 nucleotides) under Cucumis sativus (cucumber). RNAcentral describes it as "long non-coding RNA (CSAT_LNC000952)". Lineage: Eukaryota; Viridiplantae; Streptophyta; Magnoliopsida; Cucurbitales; Cucurbitaceae. The record is from RNAcentral.